Molecule: ribosomal RNA, 450 nt
Filed under: uncultured Glomeromycotina
Lineage: Eukaryota; Fungi; Glomeromycota
Description: SSU rRNA
Rfam family: Eukaryotic small subunit ribosomal RNA
Source: RNAcentral
AGCAGCCGCGGUAAUUCCAGCUCCAAUAGCGUAUAUUAAAGUUGUUGCAGUUAAAAAGCUCGUAGUUGAAUUUCGGGAUCAAUAUGUUGGUCGUGCCUUGGUACGUACUGGCGUCAUUGGUUUCUACCUUCUGAAGAACCUCGAUGUCAUUAAUUUGGUGUCUUGGGGAAUCAGGACUGUUACUUUGAAAAAUUAGAGUGUUUAAAGCAAGCUCACGCUUGAAUACAUUAGCAUGGAAUAAUGAAAUAGGACGUUUGAUUCUAUUUUGUUGGUUUCUAGGAUCGACGUAAUGAUUAAUAGGGAUAGUUGGGGGCAUUAGUAUUCAAUUGUCAGAGGUGAAAUUCUUGGAUUUAUUGAAGACUAACUACUGCGAAAGCAUUUGCCAAGGAUGUUUUCAUUAAUCAAGAACGAAAGUUAGGGGAUCGAAGACGAUCAGAUACCGUCGUAGUC